GAGUUUGAUCCUGGCUCAGAGUGAACGCUGGCGGUAGGCCUAACACAUGCAAGUCGAACGGCAGCACAGCAGUAGCAAUACUGUGGGUGGCGAGUGGCGGACGGGUGAGGAAUACAUCGGAAUCUACUCUGUCGUGGGGGAUAACGUAGGGAAACUUACGCUAAUACCGCAUACGACCUACGGGUGAAAGUGGGGGACCGCAAGGCCUCACGCGAUUGAAUGAGCCGAUGUCGGAUUAGCUAGUUGGCGGGGUAAAGGCCCACCAAGGCGACGAUCCGUAGCUGGUCUGAGAGGAUGAUCAGCCACACUGGAACUGAGACACGGUCCAGACUCCUACGGGAGGCAGCAGUGGGGAAUAUUGGACAAUGGGGGCAACCCUGAUCCAGCAAUGCCGCGUGAGUGAUGAAGGCCUUAGGGUUGUAAAGCUCUUUUGGCGGGGACGAUGAUGACGGUACCCGCAGAAUAAGCCCCGGCUAACUUCGUGCCAGCAGCCGCGGU
Molecule: ribosomal RNA, 498 nt
Filed under: uncultured Gammaproteobacteria bacterium
Lineage: Bacteria; Pseudomonadati; Pseudomonadota; Gammaproteobacteria
Description: bacterial SSU rRNA
Rfam family: Bacterial small subunit ribosomal RNA
Source: RNAcentral